AGGACGAACGCUGGCGGCGUGCUUAACACAUGCAAGUCGAACGAGAUUCAGCCGACCUUCGGGAGAGCGAAAAUCUAGUGGCGAACGGGUGCGUAACACGUGAGAAACCUGCCCCAGACUUGGGAAUAACAGUCGGAAACGACUGCUAAUACCGAAUACCUUCGUAGCGUCGCAUGGCGACAUCGAAGGAAGUCUUUUGGCGGUUUGGGAGGUCUCGCGGCCUAUCAGCUAGUUGGUGAGGUAACGGCUCACCAAGGCAUCGACGGUAGCUGGUCUGAGAGGAUGAUCAGCCACACUGGACUGAGACACGGCCCAGACCUCCGUACGGGAGGCAGCAGGUAGGGGAAUUAGUGACACAAGU
RNAcentral lists this ribosomal RNA (361 nucleotides) under uncultured soil bacterium. RNAcentral's name for it is "bacterial SSU rRNA". It matches the Rfam family "Bacterial small subunit ribosomal RNA", at positions 26 to 376 of the family's 1533-position model. The record is from RNAcentral.